AUGUUUAUAAAAUGUAAUUCGUUAAUUCAAGGUAAUGUUAAAAUUCAUAGUAAUAGAAAUAAGUUAUAUAAAUCCAAGAUAGGUGAUAAUAUAUAUGAAGAGGGUAUAAGUACAUUAGAUAGCAAUCUAAUAAAUCAAGUUUUGAAUAAAAAGAUGCAGAAUGAAUUAUAUAAUAAACAUAAUUUAUUUUUAGAAAUAUCCAAUAAUCAAAUUGAUUACCCAAUAGAUUGUGUAUAUUUAGAAAAAGAAGUAAGAAAACUUAUAAAUUUAUUAAAAUUCCAAAACUAUAAUUUAACUAUAACUUUUGUAACUUCAAAAGAAAUGAAAAUUAUAAAUAAAAAAUACCAUAAUAAGAAUGAACCUACUGAUGUUAUAUCCAUUUUGUCUUACAUAAACGAUUAUAAUGAAAUGGAAACAAAAAGUGAUAAUAAAAUGAUUGAUAUACCUAAAUUUAAAUCAGGAGAUAUUUAUUUAUGUCCAGAUUAUAUUCAAAAAGAGUGUACUAUUUCAAGAAUAAAAUAUGAAAAGGCUUUAAUAAAUGAAAAAAGUAAUAAUAAUAAUACAAAUAUAAAUUACCACAAUGACACAGAAGUCAAUAUUAAUAACAGUAGUUGCAAUAACUGUGAACAAGACGAACAAAAAAACUUAAGAGGUAUUAACAAAUUAUUUCAAAAACUUUUUAAUCUAAACGAAAGAUUACCAUUUUAUGUUUUACACGCUUUUAUACAUUUAAUGGAAAAAGAUCAUGUAAAUAAUUCAAAUGAAUAUAAUGAAUUUAUGAAUAUAGAAGAACAAUAUAUUUCAAAAUUUUUAAAAUACCAUAAAUAUACACAAACUUCUUUUGCACAUCACAUAAUUGGAAUUGGAUGUGAUAUAGUAAAUGUUGAUAGAGUUUAUAAUAUUCUUAUAAAAGAAGAAGAAAGAAAAAAAAAAAAAUUUUUAAAAAAAGUUUUAAAUUUAAUGGAAUUGAAUGUAUUACAUUCUAAAGAAAAAAAACAUAUUUUAAAUAAGGAUAAUAUACAAGAGCUUGCUAUUUAUGUAAGCAAAAAAUUUGCUGCAAAAGAAGCUAUAGUUAAAGCGAUAGGACGAGGUUUAAGCUUUUUAUCAAAAUAUGGUCUAAGUAUGAAUGAAAUAGAAAUCAGAAAUGAUGUAUAUGGUAAACCGCAAGUUUAUUUAUAUGAUAAGGCAAAAGAAGUAGCUAAUAAAAUGGGCAUAGUUAAUAUAUUUUUAUCAAUAAGUGAUGAAAAAAUUAAAUGUAACCGUUAUAGUGACAUAAAAAACUCGCAGAUAAAACCUAGUGAUGUUUUUAUGUACUUUGUUAAUGCCCAAGCACUUGCAAUUGGAUGUAAUGCGUAG
Molecule: long non-coding RNA, 1356 nt
Filed under: Piliocolobus tephrosceles (Ugandan red Colobus)
Lineage: Eukaryota; Metazoa; Chordata; Mammalia; Primates; Cercopithecidae
Description: lncRNA (ENSPTEG00000023209.1)
Source: RNAcentral